Molecule: ribosomal RNA, 1372 nt
Filed under: uncultured bacterium
Lineage: Bacteria
Description: bacterial SSU rRNA
Rfam family: Bacterial small subunit ribosomal RNA
Source: RNAcentral
GAUGAACGCUGGCGGCGUGCCUAAUACAUGCAAGUCGAGCGAACGGACGAGAAGCUUGCUUCUCUGAUGUUAGCGGCGGACGGGUGAGUGACACGUGGAUAACCUACCUAUAAGACUGGGAUAACUUCGGGAAACCGGAGCUAAUACCGGAUAAUAUUUUGAACCGCAUGGUUCAAAAGUGAAAGACGGUCUUGCUGUCACUUAUAGAUGGAUCCGCGCUGCAUUAGCUAGUUGGUAAGGUAACGGCUUACCAAGGCAACGAUGCAUAGCCGACCUGAGAGGGUGAUCGGCCACACUGGAACUGAGACACGGUCCAGACUCCUACGGGAGGCAGCAGUAGGGAAUCUUCCGCAAUGGGCGAAAGCCUGACGGAGCAACGCCGCGUGAGUGAUGAAGGUCUUCGGAUCGUAAAACUCUGUUAUUAGGGAAGAACAUAUGUGUAAGUAACUGUGCACAUCUUGACGGUACCUAAUCAGAAAGCCACGGCUAACUACGUGCCAGCAGCCGCGGUAAUACGUAGGUGGCAAGCGUUAUCCGGAAUUAUUGGGCGUAAAGCGCGCGUAGGCGGUUUUUUAAGUCUGAUGUGAAAGCCCACGGCUCAACCGUGGAGGGUCAUUGGAAACUGGAAAACUUGAGUGCGGAAGAGGAAAGUGGAAUUCCAUGUGUAGCGGUGAAAUGCGCAGAGAUAUGGAGGAACACCAGUGGCGAAGGCGACUUUCUGGUCUGUAACUGACGCUGAUGUGCGAAAGCGUGGGGAUCAAACAGGAUUAGAUACCCUGGUAGUCCACGCCGUAAACGAUGAGUGCUAAGUGUUAGGGGGUUUCCGCCCCUUAGUGCUGCAGCUAACGCAUUAAGCACUCCGCCUGGGGAGUACGACCGCAAGGUUGAAACUCAAAGGAAUUGACGGGGACCCGCACAAGCGGUGGAGCAUGUGGUUUAAUUCGAAGCAACGCGAAGAACCUUACCAAAUCUUGACAUCCUUUGACAACUCUAGAGAUAGAGCCUUCCCCUUCGGGGGACAAAGUGACAGGUGGUGCAUGGUUGUCGUCAGCUCGUGUCGUGAGAUGUUGGGUUAAGUCCCGCAACGAGCGCAACCCUUAAGCUUAGUUGCCAUCAUUAAGUUGGGCACUCUAAGUUGACUGCCGGUGACAAACCGGAGGAAGGUGGGGAUGACGUCAAAUCAUCAUGCCCCUUAUGAUUUGGGCUACACACGUGCUACAAUGGACAAUACAAAGGGCAGCGAAACCGCGAGGUCAAGCAAAUCCCAUAAAGUUGUUCUCAGUUCGGAUUGUAGUCUGCAACUCGACUACAUGAAGCUGGAAUCGCUAGUAAUCGUAGAUCAGCAUGCUACGGUGAAUACGUUCCCGGGUCU